This is a long non-coding RNA of Alligator mississippiensis (American alligator), 219 nucleotides long. RefSeq lists it as uncharacterized. The record is from RefSeq and is a predicted model, not a curated record. The transcript has 2 exons. Lineage: Eukaryota; Metazoa; Chordata; Crocodylia; Alligatoridae.
UUCACAUUCCAAGCCCUGCCGUGCUCGCAUGCCUCCAAUCAGGCGUCUGGCCGGGGGUGGGGGCUCUGGAGCCCUGUUAAAGCCUCUCUCUCCCAAACGGCAUUUCUCAGACACCGCGCCAGCUUCCACUUGGCUGCAAGGGAUCUCACCUGCUCCCUGGCUGAGAGAUCACAGAACAUGUCCGAUUCCAGAGGAAUCACUGAAGAAUAUGAAGAGUAA